Long non-coding RNA from Ipomoea triloba (trilobed morning glory), 551 nucleotides. RefSeq lists it as uncharacterized. Lineage: Eukaryota; Viridiplantae; Streptophyta; Magnoliopsida; Solanales; Convolvulaceae. The transcript has 2 exons. The record is from RefSeq and is a predicted model, not a curated record.
UUGCGUGAAAAUUAGGGUUUAGUGAUGCCUCAUUUCUCCUAUAUAUACGUUACGUCUGCAUAUCUCGUCUCAAUACAAUCGUAUAUGCUCAGCCUCCAUCCUCAACCUGUUUGUUUAUGGAACAAACCGCUUGCAAAGGCAGAGUAUCAGCUCUGCCAUUGUUUGAUUUGUUUCUCUUUCUGUCGUGGAAAAAAUGGUAACUCAACUGGAUUCCUACCCCUGCUGUCACCGCACGUGGCCCAAGAUGCGAUUCCAAUGUGCUAUUGGCUUCUCUAUGCUUUUCCUGCUACUCCAUGGAUAAGGAAUUUGGUUUUCAAGGGAUUUACAUGACUCUUCAUUGGUUUGGAAUGUACAAUUGUUAUGUUUCAGUAAAUUUAAUGUAAUCUUAGAUUUUGCUGCUGUAUUCAGAUUCAAAAGCAAGCAUGCUAUUGUACAUAGAAGUCUCUUUCUAUGCGUGUUACAAUUACCUCGAUGUUUGAAUGGUAUACCUCCUUUCUGUCGCAAUGUAGUUUUGUGGUUUAGUUUAUCUGAAAUUUUGUUGAUAAUCACAA